Silurus meridionalis is the source of this 670-nucleotide long non-coding RNA. RefSeq lists it as uncharacterized. The transcript is spliced from 3 exons. Lineage: Eukaryota; Metazoa; Chordata; Actinopteri; Siluriformes; Siluridae. The record is from RefSeq and is a predicted model, not a curated record.
CUGCUGUGUGCACAGUAAGAAAUCUCAGACUGUCUGUGGGAGUGCUGCCGUGAGUCACAUGUCAGUUCACUCCUUCCUCAGUUUAGACGAGAUUAACUUGUCAAACAACUGGUCCUUUGCCAGUCUGCUCUUUCCAAGUGGAUCUGGGACUCUUGAUCCUUUCUUGGACUGAUAGUCGAGGCUUAACAGAACGCAGGGCCAGCGAGAAGCGGGAAAUAAUCGGCUGCGGAUUUAAGACCACUUUACCUGGAUUCAGUGGUGCAGGAUGGCGGGAUUAGCUGCUUGGGUCUGGCGGCAUACGAGUCUGUUUAGCUCAAGACGGAUAAAGAGAUGGAGACAGACGGAUACAAAACGAGCAUUGUAAUGGUCUUUGGCUGGAUGUGCGAUGAUCUCCACAUCUCUUGAUAAAAUGGAAGAAAGUGAAGUCCAGGUUUACACGUUCUUCCAUUACAGGCGCCAUGAGACAGACUCCACAUCAAAGUCGGGAAAGAAAAAGCACUCCCCAGCCGACCUGUUACAACACACACCUGAGACCCUGCAGGGAGACGUUUCUCUUAGCUGUGUCUGCAGCAGCGCCUUUGCCACCCAAAGCUUGGAGACAGUUUUAAUUGCAACACGACGACCACAAGAAAAGCCCAGAAUCCCCAUAAAAGCACAGCAAAAGCUGGCU